RNAcentral lists this ribosomal RNA (427 nucleotides) under uncultured bacterium. Its description in RNAcentral is "partial 16S ribosomal RNA". It matches the Rfam family "Bacterial small subunit ribosomal RNA", at positions 355 to 774 of the family's 1533-position model. The record is from RNAcentral.
UGGGGAAUAUUGCACAAUGGGCGCAAGCCUGAUGCAGCCAUGCCGCGUGUAUGAAGAAGGCCUUCGGGUUGUAAAGUACUUUCAGCGGGGAGGAAGGUGUUGAGGUUAAUAACCUCAGCAAUUGACGUUACCCGCAGAAGAAGCACCGGCUAACUCCGUGCCAGCAGCCGCGGUAAUACGGAGGGUGCAAGCGUUAAUCGGAAUUACUGGGCGUAAAGCGCACGCAGGCGGUCUGUCAAGUCGGAUGUGAAAUCCCCGGGCUCAACCUGGGAACUGCAUUCGAAACUGGCAGGCUAGAGUCUUGUAGAGGGGGGUAGAAUUCCAGGUGUAGCGGUGAAAUGCGUAGAGAUCUGGAGGAAUACCGGUGGCGAAGGCGGCCCCCUGGACAAAGACUGACGCUCAGGUGCGAAAGUGUGGGGAGCAAACA